UACGACUACAUAUCAGGCAUAUCAAUAAGCGGAGGAAAAGAAACUAACAAGGAUUCCCUAGUAACGGCGAGUGAAGCGGGAAGAGCUCAAAUUUGAAAUCUUAAAGGGUUUCCCUUUACGAAUUGUAGUUUAAAGAAGUGUUUUCUGUUGGAGUUUCGGUAAAAGUUCUUUGGAAUAGGACAUCAUAGAGGGUGAGAAUCCCGUAUUUGACCGUUACUUUCCAGCUGUGUGAUACACUUUCAAAGAGUCGGAUUGUUUGGGAAUGCAGUCCAAGAUGGGUGGUAAAUUUCAUCUAAAGCUAAAUAUUGGCGAGAGACCGAUAGCGAACAAGUACCGUGAGCGAAAGAUGAAAAGAACUUUGAAAAGAGAGUUAAACAGUACGUGAAAUUGUCAAAAGGGAAGCGUUUGACACCAGUGUUGUUUAGUUGAAAAUCAAUUCAAUAGUUUUUGAUUCUAAGUAGUAUUGACUUCAUCAGCUUGCUGCUUUCUUCUCAGAAAUUAUUGAAUGCACUUUUCAGUUAACAAGUCAACAUCAAUUUCUUUUGUAGUAAAAGGGUAAGAGGAAGGUGGCUUGCGCUUCGGCUCAAGUGUUUAUAGCCUUUUAUCUCUGCAAUCGGAGAGAUUGAGGUCUGCAGCGUAGAUCCUUCGGGGUUAGAUACAUUGGUGCUAAGCUAUAGCCUUGUAUAGACAACUUGUUGACUAUGCUCAGUCAUGUAGCUUACUCGCUGAUGCUAUUUUACCUACGCUUAGGAUGUUGAUCUACAGAGCGAGAGU
Molecule: ribosomal RNA, 774 nt
Filed under: uncultured Neocallimastigales
Lineage: Eukaryota; Fungi; Neocallimastigomycota; Neocallimastigomycetes; Neocallimastigales
Description: partial large subunit ribosomal RNA
Rfam family: Eukaryotic large subunit ribosomal RNA
Source: RNAcentral